UACGUAGGGGGCAAGCGUUGUUCGGAUUUACUGGGCGUAAAGGGCGCGUAGGCGGCGGGUAAAGUCGGACAUGAAAUCAGUGGGCUUAACCCGAUGGCUGUGCCCGAUACUGGCGUGCUUAGAGUGCGGGAGAGGCAAUCGGAAUUCUCGGUGUAGCGGUGAAAUGCGUAGAUAUCGGGAGGAACCCCGGUGACGAAGGUGGGUUGCUGGACCGACACUGACGCUGAGGCGCGAAAGCUAGGGGAGCAAACGGG
RNAcentral lists this ribosomal RNA (254 nucleotides) under uncultured bacterium. Its description in RNAcentral is "partial 16S ribosomal RNA". It matches the Rfam family "Bacterial small subunit ribosomal RNA", at positions 524 to 776 of the family's 1533-position model. The record is from RNAcentral.